AUUGAACGCUGGCGGCAUGCUUUACACAUGCAAGUCGAACGGCAGCACAGGGAGCUUGCUCCUGGGUGGCGAGUGGCGAACGGGUGAGUAAUGUAUCGGAACGUGCCUGGUAGUGGGGGAUAACUACUCGAAAGAGUGGCUAAUACCGCAUGAGAUCUUUGGAUGAAAGCGGGGGACCUUCGGGCCUCGUGCUACUGGAGCGGCCGAUAGCAGAUUAGGUUGUUGGUGGGGUAAAGGCCUACCAAGCCUGCGAUCGGUAGCUGGUCUGAGAGGGCGACCAGCCACACUGGGACUGAGACACGGCCCAGACUCCUACGGGAGGCAGCAGUGGGGAAUUUUGGACAAUGGGCGCAAGCCUGAUCCAGCAAUGCCGCGUGCAGGACGAAGGCCUUCGGGUUGUAAACUGCUUUUGUACAGAACGAAAAGUCUCUGGCUAAUAUCUAGAGAUCAUGACGGUACUGUAAGAAUAAGCACCGGCUAACUACGUG
Molecule: ribosomal RNA, 488 nt
Filed under: uncultured bacterium
Lineage: Bacteria
Description: partial 16S ribosomal RNA
Rfam family: Bacterial small subunit ribosomal RNA
Source: RNAcentral